CGGCGUCACAAGUGGCAAUCACAUUUAUUGGGUCUAAAGCGUUCGUAGCCGGUUUGAUAAAUCUUUUGUGAAAUUGUCAAGCUCAACUUGACAACCUGCAGAAGACACUAUUAGACUUGAGACUGGGAGGGGUCAGAAGUAUUUCAUGAGGAGCGGUAAAAUGUUAUAAUCCAUGAAAGACUGCCAAUGGCGAAGGCAUCUGACCAGAACGGAUCUGACGGUGAGGAACGAAGGCCAGGGUAGCGAACCGGAUUAGAUACCCGAGUAGUCC
RNAcentral lists this ribosomal RNA (271 nucleotides) under uncultured archaeon. RNAcentral describes it as "partial 16S ribosomal RNA". It matches the Rfam family "Archaeal small subunit ribosomal RNA", at positions 477 to 747 of the family's 1478-position model. The record is from RNAcentral.